CCCUUAGACGUUCUGGGCCGCACGCGCGCUACACUGACCAGUGCAACAAGCAUCCGUCCUUGGCCGACAGGCCCGGGCAAUCUUUGAACGCUGGUCGUGAUGGGGAUAGACUUUUGCAAUUUUUGGUCUUCAACGAGGAAUUCCUAGUAAACGCAAGUCAUCAACUUGCAUUGAUUACGUCCCUGCCCUUUGUACACACCGCCCGUCGCACCUACCGAUUGGGUGAUCCGGUGAAUUGCUUGGAACAGCUACGGUGUUCUUUGAACGCUGUGGAGGUGAAGAGUUGUAAACCUUAUCACUUAGAGGAAGGAAAAGUCGUAACA
This 323-nucleotide ribosomal RNA is filed under the name uncultured eukaryote. Its description in RNAcentral is "partial 18S ribosomal RNA". It matches the Rfam family "Eukaryotic small subunit ribosomal RNA", at positions 1470 to 1796 of the family's 1831-position model. The record is from RNAcentral.